AACCGCCGUAUACGGAACCGUACGUACGGUGGUGUGAGAGGACGGCGGAUGCAAAUCCGCCUCCUA
This 66-nucleotide unclassified non-coding RNA is filed under the name Pseudomonas sp. NFACC23-1. Lineage: Bacteria; Pseudomonadati; Pseudomonadota; Gammaproteobacteria; Pseudomonadales; Pseudomonadaceae. The record is from RNAcentral. RNAcentral also lists the same sequence under 1 other name.